RNAcentral lists this small RNA (30 nucleotides) under Bombyx mori (domestic silkworm). Its description in RNAcentral is "ovarian small RNA-5974". Lineage: Eukaryota; Metazoa; Arthropoda; Insecta; Lepidoptera; Bombycidae. The record is from RNAcentral.
UACAUCAGCGUCCUCGCCCCCAAGGCAGGG